AGAGUUUGAUCCUGGCUCAGGACGAACGCUGGCGGCGCGCUUAACACAUGCAAGUCGAACGGUGAACCGGGCUUCGGCCCGGGGAUCAGUGGCGAACGGGUGCGUAACACGUGGGCAACCUGCCCCUCACUCUGGGAUAACCCCGGGAAACCGGAGCUAAUACCGGAUACUCCGUGCGAGCCGCAUGGCUCGAACGGGAAAGGUCCGCCGGUGAGGGAUGGGCCUGCGGCCUAUCAGCUUGUUGGUGAGGUAACGGCCCACCAAGGCUUCGACGGGUAGCUGGUCUGAGAGGACGACCAGCCACACUGGGACUGAGAUACGGCCCAGACUCCUACGGGAGGCAGCAGUGGGGAAUCUUGCGCAAUGGGCGAAAGCCUGACGCAGCGACGCCGCGUGGGGGAUGACGGCCCUCGGGUUGUAAACCCCUUUCGGCAGGGACGAAGCGAUCGUGACGGUACCUGCAGAAGAAGCCUCGGCUAACUACGUGCCAGCAGCCGCGGUAAU
This 504-nucleotide ribosomal RNA is filed under the name uncultured soil bacterium. Its description in RNAcentral is "bacterial SSU rRNA". It matches the Rfam family "Bacterial small subunit ribosomal RNA", at positions 8 to 524 of the family's 1533-position model. The record is from RNAcentral.